UUCUACGGGGGGCAGCAGUAGGGAAUCUUCCACAAUGGGCGAAAGCCUGAUGGAGCAACGCCGCGUGGGUGAAGAAGGUCUUCGGAUCGUAAAACCCUGUUGUUAGAGAAGAAAGUGCGUGAGAGUAACUGUUCACGUUUCGACGGUAUCUAACCAGAAAGCCACGGCUAACUACGUGCCAGCAGCCGCGGUAAUACGUAGGUGGCAAGCGUUAUCCGGAUUUAUUGGGCGUAAAGGGAGCGCAGGCGGCUUGGCAAGUCUGAUGUGAAAGGCUGGGGCUCAACCCCAGGACUGCAUUGGAAACU
Molecule: ribosomal RNA, 305 nt
Filed under: uncultured bacterium
Lineage: Bacteria
Description: bacterial SSU rRNA
Rfam family: Bacterial small subunit ribosomal RNA
Source: RNAcentral